Molecule: ribosomal RNA, 468 nt
Filed under: uncultured bacterium
Lineage: Bacteria
Description: partial 16S ribosomal RNA
Rfam family: Bacterial small subunit ribosomal RNA
Source: RNAcentral
GACGAACGCUGGCGGCGUGCUUAACACAUGCAAGUCGAACGGAAAGGCCCUGCUUUUGUGGGGGGCUCGAGUGGCGAACGGGUGAGUAACACGUGAGUAACCUGCCCUUGACUUUGGGAUAACUUCAGGAAACUGGGGCUAAUACCGGAUAGGAGCUCCUGCUGCAUGGUGGGGGUUGGAAAGUUUCGGCGGUUGGGGAUGGACUCGCGGCUUAUCAGCUUGUUGGUGGGGUAGUGGCUUACCAAGGCUUUGACGGGUAGCCGGCGUGAGAGGGUGACCGGCCACAUUGGGACUGAGAUACGGCCCAGACUGCUACGGGAGGCAGCAGUGGGGAAUAUUGCACAAUGGGCGGAAGCCUGAUGCAGAAACGCCGCGUGCGGGAUGACGGCCUUCGGGUUGUAAACCGCUUUCGCCUGUGACGAAGCGUGAGUGACGGUAAUGGGUAAAGAAGCACCGGCUAACUACGUG